GGAAUUUUGGACAAUGGGCGCAAGCCUGAUCCAGCCAUGCCGCGUGUCUGAAGAAGGCCUUCGGGUUGUAAAGGACUUUUGUCCGGGAGCAAAUCCCAGUGGUUAAUACCUACUGGGGCUGAGAGUACCGGAAGAAUAAGCACCGGCUAACUACGUGCCAGCAGCCGCGGUAAUACGUAGGGUGCAAGCGUUAAUCGGAAUUACUGGGCGUAAAGCGUGCGCAGGCGGUUGUGCAAGUCUGAUGUGAAAGCCCCGGGCUUAACCUGGGAACGGCAUUGGAGACUGCACGACUAGAGUGCGUCAGAGGGGGGUAGAAUUCCGCGUGUAGCAGUGAAAUGCGUAGAGAUGCGGAGGAAUACCGAUGGCGAAGGCAGCCCCCUGGGAUGACACUGACGCUCAGGCACGAAAGCGUGGGGAGCAAACAGGA
RNAcentral lists this unclassified non-coding RNA (427 nucleotides) under plant metagenome. RNAcentral's name for it is "partial contains 5.8S ribosomal RNA, internal transcribed spacer 2, and large subunit ribosomal RNA". It matches the Rfam family "Bacterial small subunit ribosomal RNA", at positions 358 to 777 of the family's 1533-position model. The record is from RNAcentral.